This 889-nucleotide long non-coding RNA is filed under the name Homo sapiens (human). Its description in RNAcentral is "non-protein coding lnc-OR13H1-2:1". Lineage: Eukaryota; Metazoa; Chordata; Mammalia; Primates; Hominidae. The record is from RNAcentral.
UCUAAAAAGAGACAAUGCCUCUGAGAUGACUGAACUCAUCCUUGUUGGAUUUGCCCAACACCCUGAAAUCCAGACUGCCUUCUUCUUGGAACUACUGUUUUUCUACUAGUCACAGCGUUUGAGAACAUCCUUAUCGUUGCUGUAGUGAGAUGAGAUUCUCGACUUCAUACUCCUAUGGGAUUUUUUUUUCCUCAGUACCUUAUCCUCCCUUGAAAUGUGUUACUCCAUCAGCUGGGAGCUAUAAGUCUUGGCUCAAUGCAUCAAGGACUUCCCCACCAUCUCCUAUAACAGCUGUUCUGUUCAGAUGAUCACACACCUCUUUCUGGGGAUGACAGUGUCUCCUCCUUGCUGGCAUGGCUUACAACAGGUUUGUUGAAAUCUCUUAUCUCCUCCAUUACACUAUUAUUAUGAGCAAUCGGGUCUGUAUACAGUUGGCCUUGGGAAUCUGGACCCAUGCCUUCUUAGUAGCAGUCACACUAAUCAUUGCAAUUCCUGCUAGUUAUUAUGGACACAAUGUCAUCAACCAUUUUACCUUGAGAUCCAGGCCCUGCUGAAGCUCGUCUGCUCAGACACCCUUGUCAGCCUGAUUCAGGGUCUGGUUAUCAGUGUGUUCACACUGCCCCUGCCCUUCACAUUCAUCCUCAUCUCCUAAUUUUGCAUUUUUGUUGUGCUGUGGAGGCUAGGCGUGAAGCUUUCUCCACCUGUGGAUCUCAUCUGACUGGAGUCACCAUAUUUUAUGGGGCAGCCAUCUGCAUGUACUUGAAACCUCAGUCAAAGGGAACCCAGGAAGAGGAUAAAGUUGUCUCAAAACUUUAUGGAGCAGUUACUCCCAUGUUAAAUCCCCCAAUUUACAUUCAGAGAAAUAAGGAUAUAAAAGGUGCACUUAGAA